GACGAACGCUGGCGGCGUGCUUAACACAUGCAAGUCGAACGGAAAGGCCCUGCUAUUGUGGGGUGCUCGCGUGGCGAACGGGUGAGUAACACGUGAGUCUCCUGCCCUUGACUUUGGGAUAAAUUCAGGAAACUGGGGCUAAUACCGGAUUGGAGCUCCUGCUGCAUGGUGGGGGCUGGAAAGUUUCGGCGGUUGGGGAUGGACUCGCGGCUUAUCAGCUUGUUGGUGGGGUAGUGGCUUACCAAGGCUUUGACGGGUAGCCGGCCUGAGAGGGUGACCGGCCACAUUGGGACUGAGAUACGGCCCAGACUCCUACGGGAGGCAGCAGUGGGGAAUAUUGCACAAUGGGCGGAAGCCUGAUGCAGCAACGCCGCGUGCGGGAUGACGGCCUUCGGGUUGUAAACCGCUUUCGCCUGUGACGAAGCGUGAGUGACGGUAAUGGGUAAAGAAGCACCGGCUAACUACGUG
Molecule: ribosomal RNA, 468 nt
Filed under: uncultured bacterium
Lineage: Bacteria
Description: partial 16S ribosomal RNA
Rfam family: Bacterial small subunit ribosomal RNA
Source: RNAcentral